Molecule: ribosomal RNA, 2001 nt
Filed under: Triticum aestivum (bread wheat)
Lineage: Eukaryota; Viridiplantae; Streptophyta; Magnoliopsida; Poales; Poaceae
Description: partial small subunit ribosomal RNA
Source: RNAcentral
AUGUCGACGGACUCCGACUCCUCCUCUCGCGGCGGCGGCGGCGGCGGCACCUUCCGCGAGAUCACCCGGGACCGUUUAUUAAAUGAAAUGUUAAGAUCAACUAGGCAGAACAAAGGAUCCACAUGGAAGGUUCUUAUCAUGGAUAAACUUACUGUCAAGAUAAUGUCAUCUUCGUGCAAGAUGGGAGAUAUAACAGAUCAAGGGGUUUCAUUGGUUGAGGACCUAUACAAACGGAGGCAGCCAUUACCAUCAAUGGAUGCAAUUUAUUUCAUGCAACCUACGAAACAAAAUAUUGACAUAUUUAUGUCCAACAUGUCAGGGAAGCGUCCAUUGUACAAGAAAGCCUAUAUAUUUUUCAGUUCUCCCAUACAGAAAGAAUGGGUGGCUCAUAUAAAAAAAGAUUCAAGUGUUUUAGCACGCGUUGGUGCACUCAGUGAGAUGAAUCUGGAAUACUUCGCUAUUGAUAGCCAGGGCUUUGUAACUGACGAUGACAAGGCUCUAGAAGAGCUUUUCACAGAAAAUGCAGAAAGCUCAAUGAACUAUAAUUCAUGCAUUAACACGAUGGCCACUCGCAUUGCUACUGUAUUUGCAUCAAUGAAGGAAUUUCCUCGUGUGCACUAUCGUGUCGCUAGGACAAUUGAUGCUUCUACUUUGACAACUCUACGAGAUUUAGUCCCCACAAAGCUGGCAGCUUCUGUGUGGAAUUGCCUGGCGAGAUAUAAAUCAACAAUACCCGAAUUUCCUCAGACAGAAACAUGUGAAUUACUUAUUGUAGAUCGUUCAAUAGACCAGAUUGCGCCUGUUAUUCAUGAAUGGACCUACGAUGCCAUGUGUCAUGAUCUACUGUCCAUGGAUGGUAACAAAUAUGUGCAAGAGGUGCCAAACAAGAGUGGAUCAGGCACUGAGAAAAAAGAGGUUUUAUUGGAAGAUCAUGAUCCCAUAUGGUUUGAGCUUCGUGAUGUACAUGUAGCGGAUGCUAAUUUAAGACUGCAUGAGAAGAUGAGCGAUUUUAUAUCUAAAAAUAAAGCAGCUCAACUACACCAAGCAAGGACCAAUGGAGAGUUAUCAACAAAAGAAUUGCAAAAAAUGGUCCAAGCUCUUCCACAAUACAGUGAUCAAAUUGAUAAGCUUUCCCUCCAUGUUGAGAUUGCAGAAAAGCUCUUUGACAUAAUCAAACAACAGCAUUUGAAAGACGUUGGCCAGCUCGAGCAAGAUCUCGUGUUUGGCGAUGCUGGCUCGAAAGAACUAAUUGAUUUCUUUAGGACACAUCAGGAUAUAAGUCGUGAAAACAAGCUGCGUUUACUAAUGAUUUAUGCUGCAAUUAAUCCAGAGAAGAUCCAGAGUGAGAAGGGAGCAAAGCUGAUGCAGCUGGCUGGAUUAUCUGCUGAUGAUAUGAUCGCAGUGAAUAAUAUGCGUUGCAUAUGUGCGCAUGAAACUAAAAAGUCUUCAAAAGGUGGUUUUCCUCUAAAAUUUGAAAUACGUAAGAAAAAGCGUGGUAUCAGAAAAGAACGAAUAGGGGAAGAAUCAACAUGGACGUUGUCCAGGUUUUAUCCCGUCCUGGAGGAUUUGAUUGAGAAACUCAGUAAAGGAGAGCUUCCAAAAGAUGAGUACCAUUGUAUGAGUGACCCUAGUUCUAGCUUCCGUGGGAUCUCAAGCAGCAUGUCCGCUCGAACAAGCCCAGCUCAUCAACCAGCUCAAUCCAUGAGAUCUAGACGGACAGCUGGCACAUGGGCUAGACCUCGCAACUCCGAUGAUGGCUAUUCAAGCGACUCUGUACUGAAGCAUGCGUCGAGUGAUAUGAGGAAGCUGGGUCGGCGCUUGUUUAUCUUUGUAGUUGGGGGUGCUACCCGGUCCGAGUUACGUGCUGUCCACAAGCUGUCAUCGAAACUGAAGAGAGAAAUUAUCCUCGGCUCAUCUAGCCUUGAUGAUCCACCCAAAUUCAUCACGAAACUGAAGAUGAUGUCGAAUGAGGAGCUGUCGCUGGACGAUCUGCAAAUAUAA